AUUGAACGCUGGCGGCAGGCCUAACACAUGCAAGUCGAACGGUAACAGGGAGAAGCUUGCUUCUUUGCUGACGAGUGGCGGACGGGUGAGUAAUGUCUGGGAAACUGCCUGAUGGAGGGGGAUAACUACUGGAAACGGUAGCUAAUACCGCAUAACGUCGCAAGACCAAAAAGGGGGACCUUCGGGCCUCUUGCCAUCGGAUGUGCCCAGAUGGGAUUAGCUAGUAGGUGGGGUAACGGCUCACCUAGGCGACGAUCCCUAGCUGGUCUGAGAGGAUGACCAGCCACACUGGAACUGAGACACGGUCCAGACUCCUACGGGAGGCAGCAGUGGGGAAUAUUGCACAAUGGGCGCAAGCCUGAUGCAGCCAUGCCGCGUGUAUGAAGAAGGCCUUCGGGUUGUAAAGUACUUUCAGCGGGGAGGAAGGGAGUAAAGUUAAUACCUUUGCUCAUUGACGUUACCCGCAGAAGAAGCACCGGCUAACUCCGUG
RNAcentral lists this ribosomal RNA (490 nucleotides) under uncultured bacterium. Its description in RNAcentral is "partial 16S ribosomal RNA". It matches the Rfam family "Bacterial small subunit ribosomal RNA", at positions 30 to 507 of the family's 1533-position model. The record is from RNAcentral.